Molecule: long non-coding RNA, 137 nt
Filed under: Macaca fascicularis (crab-eating macaque)
Lineage: Eukaryota; Metazoa; Chordata; Mammalia; Primates; Cercopithecidae
Description: lncRNA (ENSMFAG00000047068.2)
Source: RNAcentral
GAAGACUACACCAGGAAAAGAGACGGAGGUAGAGGCCCAAUGGAUGCUUCUAAUGGAGGGCUGGAUUUACAGAGUUUCUCACUACACCAUUCCAGAAUGUUCCCCAAACUGUACUCUGCUGUUACUGUCUGGUUGUA